This 112-nucleotide transfer RNA is filed under the name Candidatus Bathyarchaeota archaeon. RNAcentral's name for it is "tRNA-Leu". It matches the Rfam family "tRNA". Rfam says of the family: Transfer RNA (tRNA) molecules are approximately 80 nucleotides in length. Their secondary structure includes four short double-helical elements and three loops (D, anti-codon, and T loops). RNAcentral also lists the same sequence under 1 other name. The record is from RNAcentral. Lineage: Archaea; Thermoproteati; Candidatus Bathyarchaeota.
GCCGGGGUACCCAAGCCUGGACAAAUAGGGGUCAGAGCCUCUAGGCUAGGGGGGAGGACUUAAGAUCCUCUGGCGUAGGCCGUCGUGGGUUCAAGUCCCACCCCCGGCACCA